Gnomoniopsis sp. IMI 355080 is the source of this 87-nucleotide non-coding RNA. The record is from the annotation of a GenBank genome assembly. Lineage: Eukaryota; Fungi; Ascomycota; Sordariomycetes; Diaporthales; Gnomoniaceae.
GGAUCCGUGGUCUAGUGGUUAUGACAUCUGCUUUACAGUGUUAGCAUCGAUCGCAGAGGAUCGCAGGUUCGAUCCCUGCCGGAUUCA